Molecule: long non-coding RNA, 1000 nt
Filed under: Aotus nancymaae (Ma's night monkey)
Lineage: Eukaryota; Metazoa; Chordata; Mammalia; Primates; Aotidae
Description: lncRNA (ENSANAG00000038755.1)
Source: RNAcentral
AGAUGAAGUACCAGAAAUACCUGACGGUGCUGCAGAUGGCCAUCGGCGUCACCCCCUCCAACCGCGGCAGCCUCCUGCCGCUCAAGAGGAAGCUGUGGGUAACGCCAUCCUCUGAAAAUCCUAAUGGUGCUACUUCUAGUGUCAGCCAAGGAAAACCCUCUUUAAGAAGAAUUAAAGGGAGAUUACACAGAAGCAAAAGCCUUGAUAGCAUCGAUUUCUGUGAGCUCACUGUAAGUGGACUGAUCAAUGCUUUUCUGUUUUCAAAGAGUAUGAAAGUUUUUAUUUUAUUAUUUUCAUAAGAUGCAACAGGCUUAUUUUGUGGCAAGCAUUUUUUAAUUUUAGAAAUGGUUUACCCAACAGGUUACCAACCAGAAUGCUUUCUUAACUAGCAUGCAUAUGAUAUAUUUAUAAUAAUGGUUCAGAAUGAUGAUUCUGAUACAAAGAUGAAGAUAGAGAAAUGCUUCCUAGUGCUACAAGAAAAAUGGAUUUAAGUUCAAUAGAGUAUUAAUGUGAAUAUCUCAUAAAAUCACAAAUCUACAUGUUAAUGAGACUUAAGUAUCUGAUUAACCCCAAACACCCAGCUUCCUGAUAGUACCAGACAAUAGUUACUCUAAUAUUGUUAGCACAGAUCCCAAUUCAGUCAGUUAAUGAUGGUGCUUUCUUUCUAUUCUUUUUUUUUUUUUAAGAGGCAGGGUCUCCCUCUGUUGUCCUGACCGGAGUGCUGUGGUACAGUUAUGGCUCACUGCAGCCUUGAACCCUAUGCUCAAGUAAUCCUCUCACAUCAGCCUCCCAAGUAGCUGGGACUAUAGGCGUGUGCCACUAUGCCUGGCUAAUUUUUUGAAUAUUUUGUAGAGAUGGAGGUCUCACUAUGUUGCCUAGAGCUGGUUUUGAACUCCUGGCACUUUCUUUUUAUUCUAAGUAAUUAACAUUAAUGGCCAUAUUUUUUUUUGAGGCCAAGCAACAGGUUCUUAUUUCUCAUAUGGGAAUGUGGUAAAUUCAU